CUGCUAAAGCGGAGGAAGGAAUGGGCAACGGUAGGUCAGCAUGCCCCGAAUUAUCCGGGCUACACGCGGGCUACAAUGGUCAGGACAAUGGGUAUCGACACCGAGAGGUGGAGGCAAUCUCCUAAACCUGUCCUUAGUUCGGAUUGUGGGCUGCAACUCGCCCACAUGAAGCUGGAAUCCGUAGUAAUCGCGUUUCAAAAUAGCGCGGUGAAUAUGUCCCUGCUCCUU
Molecule: ribosomal RNA, 228 nt
Filed under: uncultured Methanolinea sp.
Lineage: Archaea; Methanobacteriati; Methanobacteriota; Methanomicrobia; Methanomicrobiales; Methanoregulaceae
Description: partial 16S ribosomal RNA
Rfam family: Archaeal small subunit ribosomal RNA
Source: RNAcentral